GUCCACGCCCUAAACUAUGGAUACUCGACAUACGCGAUACACUGUGUGUGUCUGAGCGAAAGCAUUAAGUAUCCCACCUGGGAAGUACGACCGCAAGGUUGAAACUCAAAGGAAUUGGCGGGGUCGCACAAGCGGUGGAGCAUGUGGUUUAAUUCGAUGAUACGCGAGGAACCUUACCUGGGCUAGAAUGCGGUUUGACCGUGGGUGAAAGCUCAUUUUGUAGCAAUACACAGAUCGUAAGGUGCUGCAUGGCUGUCGU
RNAcentral lists this ribosomal RNA (259 nucleotides) under uncultured bacterium. RNAcentral describes it as "partial 16S ribosomal RNA". It matches the Rfam family "Bacterial small subunit ribosomal RNA", at positions 793 to 1055 of the family's 1533-position model. The record is from RNAcentral.